RNAcentral lists this ribosomal RNA (253 nucleotides) under uncultured bacterium. Its description in RNAcentral is "partial 16S ribosomal RNA". It matches the Rfam family "Bacterial small subunit ribosomal RNA", at positions 524 to 776 of the family's 1533-position model. The record is from RNAcentral.
UACGUAGGGGGCAAGCGUUGUCCGGAUUUAUUGGGCGUAAAGAGCGUGUAGGCGGCCAGGUAGGUCCGUUGUGAAAACUCGAGGCUCAACCUCGAGACGCCGAUGGAAACCAUCUAACUAGAGUCCGGAAGAGGAGAGUGGAAUUCCUGGUGUAGCGGUGAAAUGCGCAGAUAUCAGGAAGAACACCCGUGGCUAAGGCGGCUCUCUAGUACGGUACUGACGCUGAGACGCGAAAGCGUGGGGAGCGAACAGG